GUUUGAUCCUGGCUCAAGAUGAACUCUAGCGGCAGGCUUAACACAUGCAAGUCGAGGGGCAGCAUGUCCAGCAAUGGAUGAUGGCGACCGGCGGAAGGGUGCGUAACGCGUGAGCAACAUGCCCUAUACAGGGAGAUACACCAGGGAAACUUGGUCUAAUAUCCCAUAUCAUUCAUUGAAGGCAUCUUUAAUGAAUUAAAGCUUCGGUGGUAUAGGAUUGGCUCGCGUGACAUUAGCCAGAUGGUGAGGUAACGGCUCACCAUAGCAAUGAUGUCUAGGGGUUUUGAGAGGAAGGCCCCCCACACUGGGACUGAGACACGGCCCAGACUCCUACGGGAGGCAGCAGUGAGGAAUAUUGGACAAUGGAUGGAAAUCUGAUCCAGCCAUGCCGCGUGCAGGAAGACGGCCUUAUGGGUUGUAAACUGCUUUUAUACGGGAGCAAUAAGGGUUACGAGUAAUCCGAUGAGAGUACUGUAUGAAUAAGGAUCGGCUAACUCCGUGCCAGCAGCCGCGGUAAUACGUAGGUGGCAAGCGUUAUCCGGAAUUACUGGGUGUAAAGGGCGCGCAGGCGGCCCUGCAAGUCGGAUGUGAAAGAUCAAGGCUCAACCUUGACAGGCCAUUCGAAACUGUGGGACUUGAGUGUCAGAGGGGAAAGUGGAAUUCCUAGUGGAGCGGUAAAAUGCGCAGAUAUUAGGAGGAACACCGGUGGCGAAGGCGACUUUCUGGCUGACAACUGACGCUGAGGCGCGAAAGCGUGGGGAGCAAACAGAAGUAGAUCCCCUGGUAGUCCACCCCGUAAACGAUGAUUACUAGGUGUAGGGGGUAUCGACUCCCUCUGUGCCACAGUUAACGCAUUAAGUAAUCCACCUGGGGAGUACGGCCGCAAGGUUAAAACUCAAAGGAAUUGACGGGGGCCCGCACAAGCAGUGGAGUAUGUGGAUUAAUUCGAGGCAACGCGAAGAACCUUACCAGGGCUUGACAUCUCCUGCAGACACAAGAGAUUGUGUUGUCCCUUCGGGGCAGGAAGACAGGUGGUGCAUGGUUGUCGUCAGCUCGUGUCGUGAGAUGUUCGGUUAAGUCCGGCAACGAGCGCAACCCCUGUGGCCAGUUGCCAUCAUUCAGUUGGGCACUCUGGCAAGACCGCCGUUAACAAAACGGAGGAAGGUGGGGAUGACGUCAAAUCAUCAUGCCCCUUAUGUCCUGGGCUUCACACGUACUACAAUGGUAACAACAGAGGGCUGCCACACCGCGAGGUGGAGCGAAUCCCAAAAUAUUAUCUCAGUUCGGAUUGCAGGCUGAAACUCGCCUGCAUGAAGCAGGAAUUGCUAGUAAUGGCAG
This 1338-nucleotide ribosomal RNA is filed under the name uncultured bacterium. RNAcentral's name for it is "partial 16S ribosomal RNA". It matches the Rfam family "Bacterial small subunit ribosomal RNA", at positions 11 to 1347 of the family's 1533-position model. The record is from RNAcentral.